CCAACUGACAUUCUUUUCCACGAUAUAAUGCUACCAUGUUUUCUGGCAUAAAACACAUACCUAACACUCAAACCCCAGCUACCAGUCUAUUUUGACUAGAAACAAAUUCUUUGGUUUUUAAUUACUUGUAGUCUCUUGUCCCACUUUCCACAGGUUCUAAUCCAAUCACUGCAUUUCACUCCUCUUAUUUAAUCUAAUCUUUCUCCUGCCAUGUCUGCUCUGCAUCUCUGAACUUGGAGAAUUCUGUAAAAAAAUUAUAAUGGGUAGCAAAACUUGUUCUUCCAAGGAUGCUUCAGUCAAUUCUCAAGGCAUUCAAAUCUUUUGGGACUGGGUGGUUGUGGUUAGUAGCCAGAAAAUUUAAGUGGCCCAUCUUUUAGUGGCUCAGAAGAAUCCAUCCCUUAUCAGCUUGAAUGGUUUAAAGAACACUUAAUGUUUCAGACCAUGAUUGCAGCGAUUUAGUAGGAUUGACAUUUAUUGCUUAUUUUUUAUUCAACUGUGUAGGAUUGUUUUGUGUCACCAUCACUUAAAAAUUAGAAUUUAUUGCAUAUGUUUGCCCAUGGUCAAGCCCAUUUAAGGUUGGAAUUGCCCAAAUGGAGUGUCAUUGUAUUCAAGAGUUUAAAACUUUAAACUAUUUAGUGAGACCCAUCUUCAUGGGUAGUGAUUUUCAAUAAGCCAUCUGUAGGAUUGAUGAAUUUCUUGUAUUCUAUGAUGAUCAAAGAGGAAAGUUGUGGGAUUGAAACUACCAAAAUGAAAGUAUCUUUGAGUAGCUUUAUCUGUCACUACCUGAACUUACAUCAGGAAACCCAAAUUUCUCUGAAGAUCACCUCUUCCAGUACUAUUUUACCUCAACUGUUCUUAAGUAAUUUUCCAUAAGUCACUUAAGCUUGUCACUCAGCUCAAAGAAUUAGCUCAUUGUGUUUGCCCAUUUUUAAGUCCACUUAGCUCACUGUGUUUGCCCAUCUCAAAGUCCACUGUGUUUGCCUAAAUGGAGUGUCACUUCAUUGUAUUCAAGAGUAAAAACUAUAAACUAAUUUAUGAGACCCAUCUUCUUGAGUAGUGAUUUUCAAUAAGCCAUCUGCAGGAUUGAUGAAUAUCUUGUAUUCUAUGAUGAUCAAAGAGGGAAGUAGUGGGAUUGAAACUACCAAAAUGAAAAUAUCUUUGAAUAGCUCCAUCUGUCACUACCUGAAAUUACAUCAGGAACCCAAAUUUUUCAGAACAAUCCUGACUCGAGUGUUCUUAAUCAUGGAAUUUCAGCUCUAAUCAAGGUCAUUUAGCUUGUUUUCUUAAUCAUGGAGUUUCAGUUCUAAUCAAGAUUAUUUAGCUUGUAACUCAGCUUAAAGGAUUUUCGAUGUUCCACUACUAUCUUGACUCAAGCGUUCUCAAUCAUGGAGUUUCAGCUCUAAUCAAGGAAAUGUUAAGAAUGGUGAAUCUGAGGACCAUUUCUCAGGAGAUGAAAAAGACUUGAUAAAUAGGCUAUAUAAUCUGCUUGGUGACAGAUGGGCUCUGAUUGCAGGGAGGCUUCCAGGUCGAACCGCU
Long non-coding RNA from Cryptomeria japonica (Japanese cedar), 1536 nucleotides. RefSeq lists it as uncharacterized. Lineage: Eukaryota; Viridiplantae; Streptophyta; Pinopsida; Cupressales; Cupressaceae. The transcript is spliced from 4 exons. The record is from RefSeq and is a predicted model, not a curated record.